This 779-nucleotide ribosomal RNA is filed under the name uncultured Neocallimastigales. RNAcentral's name for it is "partial large subunit ribosomal RNA". It matches the Rfam family "Eukaryotic large subunit ribosomal RNA", at positions 24 to 649 of the family's 3401-position model. Lineage: Eukaryota; Fungi; Neocallimastigomycota; Neocallimastigomycetes; Neocallimastigales. The record is from RNAcentral.
UAUCUCUGUAGAGUCUGCAUAUCAAUAAGCGGAGGAAAAGAAACUAACAAGGAUUCCCUUAGUAACGGCGAGUGAAGCGGGAAGAGCUCAAAUUUGAAAUCUUCAAGGUUCUACCUUGACGAAUUGUAGUUUAUAGAAGUGUUUUCUGUUAGUGGAGUCGGCUAAAAGUUCUUUGGAAUAGGACAUCAUAGAGGGUGAGAAUCCCGUAUUUGACCAGUUACUUUCCAGCUGUGUGAUACACUUUCAAAGAGUCGGAUUGUUUGGGAAUGCAGUCCAAAAUGGGUGGUAAAUUUCAUCUAAAGCUAAAUAUUGGCGAGAGACCGAUAGCGAACAAGUACCGUGAGGGAAAGAUGAAAAGAACUUUGAAAAGAGAGUUAAACAGUACGUGAAAUUGUCAAAAGGGAAGCGUUUGACACCAGUGUUGUUUUCUCGAAAAUCAAUUAAAAAUGGCGGGAUUUUGUGUUGUAUUGACUUUAUCAAGCUUUCUUCACUUUUUUCCUACCUUUUUAAUGCACUUUUCGUUUAACAAGUCAACAUCAGUUUCUUUUGUUGUAAAAGAGUCAUUGGAAGGUGGCUUUCUUUUCGGAGAAAGUGUUUAUAGCCUUUGACUUCUGCAAUCGGAGAGAUUGAGGUCUGCAGCGUAGAUCCUUCGGGGUUAGAUACAUUUGUGCUAAGCUAUAGCCUUUCAUAGACAACUUGUUGACUAUGAUCAGUCAGUGUAGCUUACUCGCUUAUGUCAUUUUACCUACGCUUAGGAUGUUGAGUAGCGACAUACGCAC